ACGAAGUCUUCGGACUGAGUGGCGGACGGGUGAGUAACACGUGAGAACCUGCCUUAAGGUCGGGGAUAACAGUUGGAAACGACUGCUAAUACCGGAUGUGCCUACGGGUGAAAGAUUUAUUGCCUAAAGAUGGGCUCGCGUCUGAUUAGCUAGUUGGAGUGGUAAUGGCACACCAAGGCGACGAUCAGUAGCUGGUCUGAGAGGAUGAUCAGCCACACUGGGACUGAGACACGGCCCAGACUCCUACGGGAGGCAGCAGUGGGGAAUUUUCCGCAAUGGGCGAAAGCCUGACGGAGCAAGACCGCGUGAGGGAGGAAGGCUCUUGGGUUGUAAACCUCUUUUGUCAGGGAAGAACACAAUGACGGUACCUGACGAAUCAGCAUCGGCUAACUCCGUGCCAGCAGCCGCGGUAAUACGGAGGAUGCAAGCGUUAUCCGGAAUUAUUGGGCGUAAAGCGUCCGCAGGUGGUUGUACAAGUCUGCUGUCAAAGCGCGGAGCUUAACUCCGUAAAGGCGGUGGAAACUGUGCGACUAGAGUUCGGUAGGGGUCGCGGGAAUUCCCAGUGUAGCGGUGAAAUGCGUAGAUAUUGGGAAGAACACCGGUGGCGAAAGCGCACGACUGGACCGAGACUGACACUCAUGGACGAAAGCUAGGGGAGCGAAAGGGAUUAGAUACCCCUGUAGUCCUAGCCGUA
RNAcentral lists this ribosomal RNA (694 nucleotides) under uncultured cyanobacterium. Its description in RNAcentral is "bacterial SSU rRNA". It matches the Rfam family "Bacterial small subunit ribosomal RNA", at positions 66 to 804 of the family's 1533-position model. Lineage: Bacteria; Bacillati; Cyanobacteriota. The record is from RNAcentral.